This 255-nucleotide ribosomal RNA is filed under the name uncultured bacterium. RNAcentral describes it as "partial 16S ribosomal RNA". It matches the Rfam family "Bacterial small subunit ribosomal RNA", at positions 524 to 776 of the family's 1533-position model. The record is from RNAcentral.
UACGGGGGGGAGCAAGCGUUGUUCGGAUUUACUGGGCGUAAAGGGCGCGUAGGCGGUCGUGACAAGUCACUUGUGAAAUCUCCGGGCUUAACUCGGAACGGUCAAGUGAUACUGUCGGACUAGAGUACAGAAGGGGCAACUGGAAUUCUCGGUGUAGCGGUGAAAUGCGUAGAUAUCGAGAGGAACACCGGUGGCGAAGGCGGGUCUCUGGGCAGUAACUGACGCUGAGGAGCGAAAGCGUGGGGAGCGAACAGG